AGUAUCCUGGCAUUCUUUGACUCCAGCUGCAACAACCUCUGAGUGCAAAGGUGUAAGAACAAGAAAAACACAUCCCUAUAUGACCAAGUUCCACCAGAUCUCUCAGGGCUGCAUCCUCUGCACUCUUCUUCAAUGUGAAAAUCUUUCAGAUUUGUGUUCAUUUCUAUAAUCUAGUAACUUUUAUGAGUAAGUCCUCACCCAGAAAGCAUCUUUUUUUUUUAAAUUAUCCUAACAGAAAUUAUUUGGCUUCUCCUAAAUAGUGCUAAUCUCAUUAAUAAUUAGAGCACCCUGCCGGCACACAUCCUGUCCACAACUAAAUGUGUUCAAGCUCUUUUCCUUGGCCAAUUGCACAUUUUUCAAAUCAUUCUCAUCUGCCUUUUUGUUCCCUGUUCUAAAUCUAAACAUAGCUAAAAGGAGCAAGCAAUAACCAUAGGCUGGAUGCUAUAUUACAUUAAAAUAUAGUCUAUGUUACAUUGAAACUUCCUUUGCCAAAUAAAUUAAUCCAUUUUUUUAACUCAAUCUCUCUCAAUGUUUUCAGGACAUGGGCAGAAUGUAGCCAGAGUCAUUGCAAGAAUCCAACAUGAAUGACUUCUAGCCUAAUCUCCAAUUGAGUUUCCAUCUGAAAUCUCAUGUACAGGACCCUCGCAGUCCACAAGCCUAUCAGCAUUUUGGAUUUCUGGAUUCUUAUCAGAAUCACAAAUAACUGUGCUUAUAAUAUUCUAGGGUGUCUGGAGCUUGCAGAUCCUAAUUUUUCCAAAUUCCUCCUACAGAUUUUAUUCUGAAGGCCCAAGAAACACAUGGUCAAGUUUAUGACAGCAAUAACCUCAUUUCUUGUACCAAUAUUUGCCUGAGAAGACAAGCAAUGAGGGGACAAGCAUGUGACAGUUUCUUGUGACAGCAGACAAGACACAGAGAAGCUAGACCAGAACCAGGAGCAGGUAUGGCUGACCUCUUCUCCAGGGUCAACUGUCCUUUAAGAAUUCACCAAGUUUCUCUAUGUGUUUCUUUGCCUCUGGAACUUGCAGCCUUUAUAGAUCUUGAGGGUGUUGAUUACAUGCUGUGAAAAGCAAGAGCCCUACUCAGGAGGGGAAACGGUCCCUUGGAAGCCACUACCAGAGCAUGGGCCUGAGACAGAACACACCUCUGGGAAUGCUUGACUGUUAAUGCACUAGGUCCUCGUGUAUGGAUCUCUGGGAGUCUAGAGGUGACCGAGGUAAACAGAAGAGCAAAAGAAUAAGGUGGCCUUACCUAUUGCAGUACUCUCACAUCCUGGCCGGGAAGCCUGCAAAGUCUUUAUUUCUGAUUCUAAAUCAAUAUAACCUCUAAACAACCAGGGGGAAACAGGUUGUGAAUACACAUGGAAGAAUGCCUACUGUGUUGACCUAUCAACAGGAAGUUGGUCUUCCUGAGUGAGAUCUGCACUAUUUGAAUGCUUGGGCUCUUGUUUUUGACAUUGGUCUUCCCACCUCAACUAACAACUCAUCCCUCACAGGUUUGCUCAGGUGCUGCUUUCCCAGAUGCCGUAGGAAGGUUUGCUCUGUGUGUGGACUUCCCCAACAUCUACAGAUAGAUCACAGCUGUGCCCAUUCAGAAGUUGUACUCCUAGGCUAUGUUCAUGCAAAGGAAGGAACUUUGCCAUAGUAACAGGUCACAGACACUGCUGUGUGGUGGCUUUGUUCAUGGUAUUCCUCCAGGUUUUUCUCCGGAUCCACUCAUACCCUGACUUGGCCUAUUUGGACUUUUAAAAUACUCCUUAAUCUACAUUUACAAGACUUCUCCAAAUACAAACUGAGAUCAGGCAUUCCUUUAUUUUGUGUCCAGUUUUCUGUACUGUCUUUCCCACUUCCCCUUCAAGCAGAGCCUCCUAUGAGGAGCCAGCGUGUCUGGAGAGUCCCUCAGUGCACUUCUUGACAGGCCUCUCCUCACGUCAGGACUCCAUCU
This is a non-coding RNA of Peromyscus maniculatus bairdii (prairie deer mouse), 1941 nucleotides long. NCBI's taxonomy places the organism in Eukaryota, Metazoa, Chordata, Mammalia, Rodentia, Cricetidae. The record is from RefSeq and is a predicted model, not a curated record.